GAUGAACGCUGGCGGCGUGCCUAAUACAUGCAAGUCGAACGAACAGACGAGGAGCUUGCUCCUCUUACGUUAGCGGCGGACGGGUGAGUAACACGUGGAUAACCUACCUAUAAGACUGGGAUAACUUCUGGAAACCGUAGCUAAUACCGGAUAAUAAAUUGAACCACAUGGUUCAAUAGUGAAAGACGGUUUUGCUGCCACUUAUAGAUGGAUCCCGGCCGCAUUAGUUAGUUGUGAAGGUAAGGGCCUACCAAGGCAACGAUCAGUGGCCGACCUGAGGGGGGGAUCGCCCCCACUGGAACUGGGACACGGUCCAGACCCCUACGGGGGGCAGCAGUAGGGAAUCUUCGGCAAUGGGGCAAACCCUGACGGAGCAACGCCGGGGGAGUGAUGAAGGUCUUCGGACCGUAAACUUCUGUUAUUAGGGAAGACCAAAUGUGUAAGUAACUAUGCACGUCUUGACGGUACCUAAUCAGAAAGCCACGGCUAACUACGUG
RNAcentral lists this ribosomal RNA (497 nucleotides) under uncultured bacterium. RNAcentral's name for it is "partial 16S ribosomal RNA". It matches the Rfam family "Bacterial small subunit ribosomal RNA", at positions 28 to 507 of the family's 1533-position model. The record is from RNAcentral.